CCGAGUGAGGGCCUCUGGCCCGACCUCCAACCCUUUGUUGACCAACACCUGUUGCCUCGGGGGCGACCCGGACGCCGACGCGCCGGGCACCUCGGCGGACCACUACGACUCUGUGUCUGUACGUCGGAGUACUUUGCGAAUCAAUCA
RNAcentral lists this unclassified non-coding RNA (147 nucleotides) under uncultured Capnodiales. Its description in RNAcentral is "sequence contains ITS1". The record is from RNAcentral. Lineage: Eukaryota; Fungi; Ascomycota; Dothideomycetes; Capnodiales.